GAUCAUGGCUCAGGAUGAACGCUGGCGGCGUGCUUAACACAUGCAAGUCGAGCGAAGCGCUUUUGCGGAUUUCUUCGGGUUGAAGCAACUGUGACUGAGCGGCGGACGGGUGAGUAACGCGUGGGUAACCUGCCUCAUACAGGGGGAUAACAGUUGGAAACGGCUGCUAAUACCGCAUAAGCGCACAGUACCGCAUGGUACCGUGUGAAAAACUCCGGUGGUAUGAGAUGGACCCGCG
Molecule: ribosomal RNA, 238 nt
Filed under: uncultured bacterium
Lineage: Bacteria
Description: partial 16S ribosomal RNA
Rfam family: Bacterial small subunit ribosomal RNA
Source: RNAcentral